RNAcentral lists this ribosomal RNA (412 nucleotides) under uncultured bacterium. RNAcentral's name for it is "bacterial SSU rRNA". It matches the Rfam family "Bacterial small subunit ribosomal RNA", at positions 9 to 452 of the family's 1533-position model. The record is from RNAcentral.
GAGUUUGAUCUUGGCUCAGAGCGAACGCUGGCGGCAGGCCUAAUACAUGCAAGUCGAACGGAUCCUUCGGGAUUAGUGGCGGACGGGUGAGUAACACGUGGGAACGUGCCCUUUGGUUCGGAACAACUCAGGGAAACUUGAGCUAAUACCGAAUGUGCCCUUCGGGGGAAAGAUUUAUCGCCAUUGGAGCGGCCCGCGUCUGAUUAGCUAGUUGGUGGGUAAAGGCCCACCAAGGCGACGAUCAGUAGCUGGUCUGAGAGGAUGAUCAGCCACACUGGGACUGAGACACGGCCCAGACUCCUACGGGAGGCAGCAGUAGGGAAUCUUGCGCAAUGGGCGGAAGCCUGACGCAGCCAUGCCGCGUGAAUGAUGAAGGUCUUAGAUUGUAAAAUUCUUUCAGCGGGACGAUAAU